Molecule: long non-coding RNA, 678 nt
Organism: Penaeus monodon (black tiger shrimp)
Lineage: Eukaryota; Metazoa; Arthropoda; Malacostraca; Decapoda; Penaeidae
Exons: 3
Source: RefSeq, a predicted model, not a curated record
UACAGUGCAGGCGAGGCAACGGUAGGCCAGCUCUACGGGGCAACUAAACUGAGUGUCAAAAGUAGUGUUCACGUUUUGUGGAAUUUUCGACUGUUAAUGAUGAUAAAUAGCAGCAUAACUGGGAAUGGAAAAUACCUACAUCCAUAUCAGUGUGAAAUAGAAUUCUUCACCUCCAAUAGACAAUGCCAUAAAGGCGAAAAUGGUAUAACACUUGAGUAAUUACUAAACAGAUCGUUCGGAAUGGCGAGGGGCGGGCUAGCAAUGGCCACUCCUAUGAAGCAGGUCUUGGAGGCAACCGAACAGACAGACAAAGAGACCGAGAAACGGAGAUAAUGCAAGAACAAGCAGGGCGAAGUCAAGAAGCGGAAUCAGCAAUUAAGUGAACUCCCCCCCCCUCAUUCCCUCCCUUAUAUAUUGCAUAUUCAACUGUUCCGAAUAAUCGCCGAAACAAGAGAAAUUGUACCCGAUGCUGAGGGCGGCGUAUCAGAACUAAUCUUUGACAUCUCCCGGCUGCAAUGAUGCAAAGUACAGCCACUCCAAUGUAUCUAGUCUAUCUGGAGGACGAUUCGCUCUGAGCGUCGGGUCGGAAAAAUAUGCAGCUAGUGUUCCGGGAAAAACAAGCAGGCAGUGCGCGCAGCCCGUCUCACCACCCGUGCGAAGUUUCAACGCACUCUAAUG